GCCAUGGCCGCCUGUCAACCCCACGCCAUGGCCCCGCUGGCUCCCACUUUUUCUUGCCUCCACGAGCUUGCCAGGGACUUGUGGAGUGUAAUUUGAGUUGCCCUGACACAACAUGUAAGGGGCAGAAACAAGAUUACAGCACCCAAUACCUACCACGACAUGCUACCACACACAAUACUAGCACAGCCAUACCAAGAAAACAAGGUGGACAUUUUAGAACUAUUGUUAUGUAAAGAAGCAAUAAGACUGUGAAGUCAAGAAAGACCUGAUCAGAAGAAUGGGGAAGAAGAGAAGAAGAAAACUGACCUCUUUUACAAUACACAGGUUACUGGACCCCUCCCAUUUACACAGACUACUACUACUACUACUACUACUACUACUACUACCAUAUUGCAGCUUUAAUCAAGAAACUUGAAACAUGCAUAAACAGAAGGAAGGAAAUUAAAUAUAUGCAAGAAUUUUGGAAGAAUCGCUUAAAAUCCGAGAAGAGAUGGCAGCACUCAACCAGGCACAAGAAAAUCAAGAAGUGGAGGCUCCGAACUGCACUGAACUGAACUGUAAACUUUAUCAGAAGGGAGGAUAUUAAAUAUACUCAAGAAUUUUAGAAGAAUCGCUUAAAAAUCAGAGAAGAGAAGGCAGCACAACCAAGCACAAGAAGACCAUUUAGAGGGGCAAAGGCAACCCUCCGAACAGAACUGGAAACAAACAGAAGGGAGGAAAUUAAAUAUACUCAAGACUUUUAGAAGAAUCGCUUAAAAUUGGAGAAGAAAAGGCAGCACAACCAAGCACAAGAAGAUCAUUUAGAGGGGCAAAGGCAACCCUCCGAACAGAACUGGAAACAAACAGAAGGGAGGAAAUUAGAUAUACUCAAGACUUUUGGAAGAAUCGCUUAAAAUUCAGCCAGGCACAAGAAGACCAUUUAGAGGGUCCGCUGCAAAGGCACUCCCUCCGAACUACUCUGCACUGAACUGACCUGGUUACGGCGCCUGUACAAGUGACCCGGGAUGGAGUAUUGGCGGCAGGGCAGCUCAACGAAAGCUGCUGUGGGAGUGCUGCCCUCCACAGCAAGCAAGGGGCUGCCCUGCCCAGACCACAGCAAGAGGAGGAAGAGCUCUGCAUUA
Eriocheir sinensis (Chinese mitten crab) is the source of this 1121-nucleotide long non-coding RNA. RefSeq lists it as uncharacterized. The record is from RefSeq and is a predicted model, not a curated record. The transcript is spliced from 3 exons. NCBI's taxonomy places the organism in Eukaryota, Metazoa, Arthropoda, Malacostraca, Decapoda, Varunidae.